GUGGGGAAUCUUCCGCAAUGGACGAAAGUCUGACGGAGCGACGCCGCGUGAGUGAAGAAGGCCUUCGGGUCGUAAAGCUCUGUCAUCAGGGACGAACGGCCGGUGGAGUGGAAAGCCACCGGAUUGACGGUACCUGAGAAGGAAGCCACGGCUAACUACGUGCCAGCAGCCGCGGUAAUACGUAGGUGGCAAGCGUUGUCCGGAAUUAUUGGGCGUAAAGCGCGCGCAGGUGGGAUCUUAAGUCCAUUUUUAAAGUUCGGGGCUCAACUCCGUGAGGGGAUGGAAACUGGGAUUCUUGAGUACCGGAGAGGAAAGCGGAAUUCCCCGUGUAGCGGUGAAAGGCGUAGAUAUGGGGAGGAACACCAGUGGCGAAGGCGGCUUUCUGGACGGUGUCUGACACUGAGGCGCGAAAGCCAGGGGAGCGAACGGGAUUAGAAACCCGGGUAGUCC
This 450-nucleotide ribosomal RNA is filed under the name uncultured bacterium. RNAcentral describes it as "partial 16S ribosomal RNA". It matches the Rfam family "Bacterial small subunit ribosomal RNA", at positions 354 to 796 of the family's 1533-position model. The record is from RNAcentral.